Rhinolophus ferrumequinum (greater horseshoe bat) is the source of this 118-nucleotide small nuclear RNA. Its record names the gene U5. It matches the Rfam family "U5 spliceosomal RNA". From Rfam's summary of the family: U5 RNA is a component of both types of known spliceosome. The precise function of this molecule is unknown, though it is known that the 5' loop is required for splice site selection and p220 binding, and that both the 3' stem-loop and the Sm site are important for Sm protein binding and cap methylation. NCBI's taxonomy places the organism in Eukaryota, Metazoa, Chordata, Mammalia, Chiroptera, Rhinolophidae. The record is from Ensembl.
AUACUCUGGUUUCUCUUCAGAUCGUAUAAAUCUUUCGCCUUUUACUAAAGAUUUCCGUGGAGAGGAACAGUUAUGAGUUUAUACCCAAUUUUUUGAGGCCUCGUAUUUUUACGAGGCU